GAGUUUGAUCCUGGCUCAGAACGAACSCUGGCGGCGUGCUUAACACAUGCAAGUCGGACGUGAUCCGGAGCUUGCUCCGGUGAAAGUGGCGCACGGGUGAGUAACGCGUGGAUAAUCUGCCCUGGUAUCUGGGAUAACAUCUCGAAAGGGGUGCUAAUACCGGAUAAGCCUACGGGAUCCUCGGAUUCUGCAGGAAAAGGKGGCCUCUAUUUAUAAGCUACCGUAUCAGGAUGAGUCCGCGUACCAUUAGCUAGUUGGUGGGGUAAUGGCCCACCAAGGCUACGAUGGUUAGCUGGUCUGARAGGAUGAUCAGCCACACUGGAACUGAGACACGGUCCAGACUCCUACGGGAGGCAGCAGUGGGGAAUUUUGCGCAAKGGGGGAAACCCUGACGCAGCAACGCCGCGUGAGUGAUGAAGGCUUUCGGGUCGUAAAGCUCUGUCAGAGGGGAAGAAAUGAGACUGGCUAAUAUCCAGUUUUCUUGACGGUACCCUCAAAGGAAGCACCGGCUAACUCCGUGCCAGCAGCCGCGGUAAUAC
Molecule: ribosomal RNA, 539 nt
Filed under: uncultured Geobacteraceae bacterium
Lineage: Bacteria; Pseudomonadati; Thermodesulfobacteriota; Desulfuromonadia; Geobacterales; Geobacteraceae
Description: bacterial SSU rRNA
Rfam family: Bacterial small subunit ribosomal RNA
Source: RNAcentral